RNAcentral lists this ribosomal RNA (438 nucleotides) under uncultured bacterium. Its description in RNAcentral is "partial 16S ribosomal RNA". It matches the Rfam family "Bacterial small subunit ribosomal RNA", at positions 339 to 795 of the family's 1533-position model. The record is from RNAcentral.
CUACGGGGGGCAGCAGUGAGGAAUAUUGCACAAUGGGGGGAACCCUGAUGCAGCAACGCCGCGUGGAGGAUGACGCAUUUCGGUGUGUAAACUCCUUUUAUAUGUCAAGAAAAUGACGGUAGCAUAUGAAUAAGCAUCGGCUAACUCCGUGCCAGCAGCCGCGGUAAUACGGAGGGUGCAAGCGUUACUCGGAAUCACUGGGCGUAAAGGACGCGUAGGCGGGUUGGAAAGUCAGGUGUGAAAUCCUACAGCUUAACUGUAGAACUGCACUUGAAACUUCUAAUCUAGAGUAUGGGAGGGGAGAUGGAAUUAGUGGUGUAGGGGUAAAAUCCGUAGAUAUCACUAGGAAUACCUAAAGCGAAGGCGAUCUCCUGGAACAUUACUGACGCUAAGGCGUGAAAGCGUGGGGAGCAAACAGGAUUAGAUACCCUUGUAGUC